GUUUUGUUCCCGGGGAAGGAUGACUGUGUGACAGUAGUUCCAUGCCUGUGGCUCAAAGGGGGACUUUGCUACUGGCCGCCACACAGCAUCACCAGCACGAAGUCCUUCAGCCACGACCUGUUCACCACCUGAAGACGCCUGGGUGGCUGUCCUUUAUGAACUCAUCAAGCAUGCAGGAGAGUGAAAAACUUUCCAGCGUGGGCCCCUACAGUACCACCCCAAGGAUGCACAUCUACACCAUAACACCCUGUGGAUUGCAGCCCUGGAGGAUGGAGCAAGCACAGUACUCCACGGCACCAGAGAGGUACUCCACGGCACCAUGUGGAGGACAG
Molecule: long non-coding RNA, 332 nt
Organism: Esox lucius (northern pike)
Lineage: Eukaryota; Metazoa; Chordata; Actinopteri; Esociformes; Esocidae
Source: Ensembl